GGUCUUAUAGUGUAGUGGUUAUCACGUGACGUUUACAUCGUCAAGGUCCCCAGUUCGAUCCUGGGUGAGAUCA
Non-coding RNA from Globomyces sp. JEL0801, 73 nucleotides. The record is from the annotation of a GenBank genome assembly. NCBI's taxonomy places the organism in Eukaryota, Fungi, Chytridiomycota, Chytridiomycetes, Rhizophydiales, Globomycetaceae.